UCAAUAGCUGAAAUAAUAUCAACUGCAGAGGGAAACAAAGAAUCCCGUCAUGAUCCUUAAGACUCCACUGCACAGUCGUGUAAAUAAUAUUAUACAUCUUGUUAAAUAUGUUUAAACUUUCAUUUUCCGAUCUCCUUUUUUUCCCCUCUUUUCUUAACUUUUACCACUUCUAGCUGUCCUACCCUCAACAUUAAAAGUUCUUUCUUAUCUGAAAGUUUUUGUUUGAUGUAUGGGAUAAAAGCAUAAAAUUCACCCCUUCACGUGAAAUGCAUGUUUCUUGCUGUUUAACAAAUAGAGAUGGUUCUUUUCAAAACAAAAAAAUGUAACGGUUCUGCUUGUAUCAUUUGUAGGCUGAUACCAAGAGAAAUGAUGAUGGGGGCAAUAACCACAGGGGGAAAGUAAAAGAAAAAAAAUUCAACAAGUAGAGAUGAAG
RNAcentral lists this unclassified non-coding RNA (433 nucleotides) under Hevea brasiliensis (rubber tree). Lineage: Eukaryota; Viridiplantae; Streptophyta; Magnoliopsida; Malpighiales; Euphorbiaceae. The record is from RNAcentral.